Molecule: long non-coding RNA, 2278 nt
Organism: Taeniopygia guttata (zebra finch)
Lineage: Eukaryota; Metazoa; Chordata; Aves; Passeriformes; Estrildidae
Source: Ensembl
GGGCACCUGGGAUACCACCCCAAGGCCCCAUGGUCCUAUGCAUGAGUGAGAAGUGCAAGAAAGAGAACAUUUUUGUGCAAAUUGCAAGCAGCAAUACUAAAGCAAGAAGAAGCUGUGUUCCUCUUUAGGGUCAGCCAAAAAGCCUGGCAGUAUGAGGGUGAAUGAGGCCAGGGUCCGUCAGAGAGGCUGCUGGGGAGGAACUGACUGUGAUUCACUCCAGGGGGGUGUUGAUAGGCAGUAAAGAGGAAGCCCAUACUUCCCACCACGCUCACUGAUGGCAGCGUUUGCAGUCACAGGGCACAGAGAAGAGGGAAAUUAAGAUACAGGAGUGGGUGCAAAAGGAAGGGGAAAUCAAAGCUUCUUCAUUUCCCUCCUUUGCCUCUGGUCCCUCAGCUUGACCUUGUGAGUCUCAAUUCUGUUGUGUUUCUUGGUGUUUGUUUUCCCUAGGGGUUCACCUGCAAGGACAGACCUCUGUGAAGAGAAUCCCUCCACCUAUUGCCGAAAAGAAUUCCUGCCCUGAUAGAGAUCCUGAACAACAUCAGCUGGCAGGCCAGGCCUGCUAUCCCUGCUCUCCCUGCUCUCCCUGCAUCCCUGCAUUGGUGCUACCUGGGGUGUCAUGGGUAGCCCAGGGACAGGUGGCUGCUCCUCGUCCUUUCUGCUGACACCAUCUGAGUAGUAACAGGUUUUACAAGGAACUUUGUGAACCAGAUCAUGUAACCAUUCCUGUCCUCUCAGUUACAUUUGCCUCACAGGAUGGCAGCAUUUGAUAUCUUAAAAGAUAAAGAACAAUUUUUGUAAGCAAAAAAAACCUAGAGAAGAUUGAUGGUGGUAUGAGGGAAGAUGGAAAUGAGCUCAAAACUAUAGAAAAGGCAAAAGUCUAAAUAAUCAGAUGAGUGAGGAGAGUUAUAGUGUGCAAGUGGAGAGUCACUGAGUCAUAUUUCAAGCUUGUACCAUAAAAUGACCUGUAACUAUUUCCCAGAAGGUGAUUAGUUUGCAUCAUUCAGAAGUUUUAUGAAGGAUGUUCAUUGGAACUCCAUGAGUAAUUAUUUUUUGUGUUUCACUGGCAAAUUUGGAAAGUCAAGAAGGCUCAUUUCAGUCAGACCAAAAGGAAAAAAAUCAAUUUAUUUUUGUGAAUAGAGAAGUAAAACAAGUAAUAAUUUGGAGGCUUCAAAACAGACAUUUAAUCCUAAAACAAUUAAGACCUGAUUUGGAUGGUGACUAUUUAAAUAUUGUUGAAUAUUGAAAAAUAGGGGAGUUUUGGGAGAAAAGUUAUACUUUGAAAGACAAAUAAAAUUCUUUAUUUUGAAAAAAAUUUGAGAAUUAUUUAAAUUGAAAUUCUGAUUUUUUUCCUUCUUAUUAAAGAAUAUGAUUUUACUGGCUAAGCUCCUGAAGUGUAUUACUAUCUCCUUUUGGAGAUAUCUACAUAGAUAUAUAUCUAACUUUUGGCUGCAGAGGUUUAUUUCAAAAACAAAAAAUCCAUUCCAAGGCUUGACAGUAUAUCAGGCAAAUCCACAUUUCUCAAGACUCCAGAGCCUGCAGCUCCAUUGUCCCCAGCUCCUCAGUAGCCCAGGGACUUUAACAAAACACUAACCAAUCACUGCCAAGUCACAGACAGAAAUUAUUGCUGCAUCCUCUCCAGAGCCUGCAUUUGCCAGCUGAGUGCAUUAUGACUUAGUACACAAUCUACCAUUAAAUAGCUUGAAAGUGAAACUACUCUGUUUCAGGAUGCAAUAUUAAAAGAGCAGCAAGAGAAGUGCUCUUACGGAGGAUUUGUAGUUAAACCCCUUCAAGCAGGAAUGGGCAAUGCUGUAGUUCUGUAGCUGAAGGAAUGGUAAUGAAGGGAGACUGAGUCCUGUUUAACCCCUCUAGCCCAAAGCCCUUGGUUCAGAGAUACCAUGUAUUUUCACUGAAUCAUGAUCCCUGGCAAAAAUCCAACACAGGCUGAUACAUGAAGCAUGUAGUAUUGCAGGAACAGCAAUUACUAGGCUGUGGCAGCAAAAUUUGUUGCUGUGCUUAGAUUAAUGAGAACCAGGCAGUCUGCUUUCUUCUACUUUUUCUAAAUGGCAUCAGUUAGCUGCUGACAUUUGAAACUCACAAAAAGUGGGUUAAUACAAUGGCCAUUUAAAUGAGCAAACAUAGCAAAAAACCUUAGGAAGUGAAACUUUCUCAAGAAGGCUUUUCUUAGCUAGAGUUGCUCUUGCUGAAAAAGGUUCCCCUCACCUUUUCCUCAUUUCACCCAUUAUUGGUUCUAGACAGAAAAAAAAGAAGAAAAAAAAAA